AUAUAACAAAAGUACUUUCCCUUAUGGUUUAAAAAGUUGAAUUGCAAAUGACAUGAUUUUACAAACUCUGAACCACCUGUAUAGGCAAGGGCAACUCACUCGGGUCACGCCCCGAUCAGACCAGCCAAUUAAACUAAUUAUAACUACUUUUAAUGAUCAUUCUUAUAGGAGUCCAUGCUAAUCGAGUGUCUUUUUUUUUAAGCUGCUGUUUUAAAAGGAGGCUGAGAGGGGGGGGAAAUCAGAAACAAAAAUGUGUUUUCAAAAGAUCUCCGCCACCGGCAGCCAGGAUGAUGGGCUGGAUCUGACAGGUCAGCCCGCCUUGAAGGGCGAGGAACGCACGUUGGAGUUUAGCACCUACUGACCAAUGAAGAAAGGCCCUCGCCAUCCUUCCUAUAUGUCUCCCCUUUCCCGGAGGCGGUCGAGUGGUCAUUUGCAAGACGCUUCCAGGUGGGUGCGGACGGAUCUAGGGAGGGGAAUUUCGAAAAUUCCAUGAAGUCUGAUACGAAGCACCACCCUCCAGAUAGCUAAUCUGUAAUCUCUCUGUGUAUAUACUCCCUGCUGGACUCUCAGGAUAAUCUCACUCUUCUUCCUUCGUUUUCCCUCCUGUCCCACGUCUCCUUUCUUCCAUUUUUCCACGAACUCCUUUUUCUCUGGAGGUAGAGAUUUCUCCCCCAUCUCCAAGCUUGCCCCUUUCUUUCUCCACAGCCUCAACCCCGCCCCGAGUUGCCCCCCAACCAGUCGCCACAUGGCAUCCCCUGGGUGUUGGGAGUCGGGGUCGGAGAGUUAUUUGUGACGACAGGCGAGGCGGAGGAAACGUUUUUCUUCUUUAAGCCUCAAAUCCGAGGUCGGAAACCAAAGGGAAAGCCAAGGGAAGGGCUAGUGUUUUGACCCUCUGGUUUUUUUUUUUUCUCUCCCUCUCUCCCCCACCCCUUAUUAAUCAGGGGAAACGCUCGAGGAAA
RNAcentral lists this long non-coding RNA (959 nucleotides) under Ornithorhynchus anatinus (platypus). Its description in RNAcentral is "lncRNA (ENSOANG00000046728.1)". Lineage: Eukaryota; Metazoa; Chordata; Mammalia; Monotremata; Ornithorhynchidae. The record is from RNAcentral.